AAAAUCGACGCUCUGUGACAAUCUGCUGAAGACUUGAGGACUUGAUUGUGAGAUCACUGAAACCAUGCUGAAGGUAGCGCUUGUACUGGGAUGCCUCCUGAGUCUCACUCUGGCUCAACCUCAGAUGGAGCAGAAGCGAUUUGUUCGUUCUAGCUCCGAUUCCGAUUCCAACUCCAACUCAAAUGAGGCGACCACCACCACUCAGGCCACCACUGCAACCACCGCAACGAACAAUGCAGCAACCCUGGCCCAGCUAAUUGCUUCUCUUCUCCAACUUCUUCAAAACCAAAGAUAAAGGCUGAAAUAUCAGCAGAAAAUCAAUAAGUGAUUACAAGUCUAUUUUGAAUGGAUUCUUGACAAUAUUGAUGUUUUGCUUCAUUUUGCAUUGAGCUGAGAAUCAAUGGAAUCAAUGCUUCAUCAAUCUCCAAUGUAAUUCAAUAAAUGUUCACUAAUGUGUUUAAAGCAUUAAUAAAGUUGAUACAUGAAA
Cololabis saira (Pacific saury) is the source of this 487-nucleotide long non-coding RNA. RefSeq lists it as uncharacterized. The transcript is spliced from 4 exons. Lineage: Eukaryota; Metazoa; Chordata; Actinopteri; Beloniformes; Belonidae. The record is from RefSeq and is a predicted model, not a curated record.